UCCGAUUUGUCACCGGCAGUCUCCCAUGCAGCACCUGUGCACGGGCUCCGAAGAGGGCCUGCCGUUUCUGGCAAGUUUCCCGUGUAUGUCAAGCCUAGGUAAGGUUCUUCGCGUUGCGUCGAAUUAAACCACAUGCUCCACCGCUUGUGCGGGCCCCCGUCAAUUCCUUUGAGUUUUAACCUUGCGGCCGUACUCCCCAGGCGGAUGACUUAACGCGUUAGCUGCGCCACCGAAACGCUAAGCGCCCCGACAGCUAGUCAUCAUCGUUUACGGCGUGGACUAC
Molecule: unclassified non-coding RNA, 283 nt
Filed under: uncultured bacterium
Lineage: Bacteria
Description: contains 16S-23S intergenic spacer region
Source: RNAcentral